GGCGAACGGGUGAGUAACACGUGAGCAAUCUGCCCCUGACUCUGGGAUAGCGCUGGAACGGCGUCUAAUACCGGAUACGAGCUGCGACCGCAUGGUCAGUAGCUGGAAGAAUUUCGGUCAGGGAUGAGCUCGCGGCCUAUCAGCUUUGUUGGUGAGGUAAUGGCUCACCAAGGCGUCGACGGGUAGCCGGCCUGAGAGGGUGACCGGCCACACUGGGACUGAGACACGGCCCAGACUCCUACGGGAGGCAGCAGUGGGGAAUAUUGCACAAUGGGCGCAAGCCUGAUGCAGCAACGCCGCGUGAGGGAUGACGGCCUUCGGGUUGUAAACCUCUUUUAGCAGGGAAGAAGCGAAAGUGACGGUACCUGCAGAAAAAGCGCCGGCUAACUACGUGCCAGCAGCCGCGGUAAU
Molecule: ribosomal RNA, 411 nt
Filed under: Microbacterium arborescens
Lineage: Bacteria; Bacillati; Actinomycetota; Actinomycetes; Micrococcales; Microbacteriaceae
Description: bacterial SSU rRNA
Rfam family: Bacterial small subunit ribosomal RNA
Source: RNAcentral